AGACAGGUGCUGCAUGGCUGUCGUCAGCUCGUGUUGUGAAAUGUUGGGUUAAGUCCCGCAACGAGCGCAACCCUUAUCCUUUGUUGCCAGCGGUUCGGCCGGGAACUCAAAGGAGACUGCCGGUGAUAAACUGGAGGAAGGGGGGGAUGACGUCAAGUCAUCAUGGCCCUUACGAGUGGGGCUACACACGUGCUACAAUGGCGCAUACAAAGAGAAGCGACCUCGCGAGAGCAAGCGGACCUCAUAAAGUGCGUCGUAGUCCGGAUUGGAGUCUGCAACUCGACUCCGUGAAGUCGGAAUCGCUAGUAAUCGUGGAUCAAAAUGCCACGGUGAAUACGUUCCCGGGUCUG
RNAcentral lists this ribosomal RNA (350 nucleotides) under uncultured Gammaproteobacteria bacterium. RNAcentral's name for it is "bacterial SSU rRNA". It matches the Rfam family "Bacterial small subunit ribosomal RNA", at positions 1032 to 1381 of the family's 1533-position model. The record is from RNAcentral. Lineage: Bacteria; Pseudomonadati; Pseudomonadota; Gammaproteobacteria.